UUAUAUCCUUCAGAUCAAUGCUCAGAUUGAUCGAGCCACAAUCAGAUCUAGAUAUUUGUUUGUUGGAUGCACUUGGUAUAGUCAUGUUAAUGAUCGAACCAAAUCAGAAUUUUUAGCAGAGGUACCACAUGCCUGUUGAAGAGAUUUUUGGGGCAAAACUUAAUUACUAGAAGUUAUUUAGAGAAACAAUUAGUUAUGAACCUACCCAU
Molecule: long non-coding RNA, 209 nt
Filed under: Elaeis guineensis (African oil palm)
Lineage: Eukaryota; Viridiplantae; Streptophyta; Magnoliopsida; Arecales; Arecaceae
Description: long non-coding RNA (EGUI_LNC027862)
Source: RNAcentral